AUUGAACGCUAGCGGGAUGCCUUACACAUGCAAGUCGAACGGCAGCACGGACUUCGGUCUGGUGGCGAGUGGCGAACGGGUGAGUAAUGUAUCGGAACGUGCCCAGUAGCGGGGGAUAACUACGCGAAAGCGUAGCUAAUACCGCAUACGCCCUUCGGGGAAAGCAGGGGAUCGUAAGACCUUGCACUAUUGGAGCGGCCGAUAUCGGAUUAGCUAGUUGGUGAGGUAAUGGCUCACCAAGGCCGCGAUCCGUAGCUGGUUUGAGAGGACGACCAGCCACACUGGGACUGAGACACGGCCCAGACUCCUACGGGAGGCUG
RNAcentral lists this ribosomal RNA (320 nucleotides) under uncultured Pseudomonadota bacterium. RNAcentral describes it as "bacterial SSU rRNA". It matches the Rfam family "Bacterial small subunit ribosomal RNA", at positions 30 to 351 of the family's 1533-position model. Lineage: Bacteria; Pseudomonadati; Pseudomonadota. The record is from RNAcentral.